Molecule: unclassified non-coding RNA, 4497 nt
Filed under: Hevea brasiliensis (rubber tree)
Lineage: Eukaryota; Viridiplantae; Streptophyta; Magnoliopsida; Malpighiales; Euphorbiaceae
Source: RNAcentral
GAGAGAGAGAGAGCUAACAAACUAAGCUACCUAUAACUACUUUGAUAACAAACUAUACACGUGGACAACAGCUCUAACAAACUAAAGCUCCCAUCAACUGACUUUGGCGCCUUCUAUUCUUUGAUCUAAUGGUAGUCAUGCCCCACAGGUAGAAUUUCUUCUCUUUGCUUUAUGGAGCUUCUGCAGCAUAGGAUAUAUUAACUGCGAUACUUUCUUGCCAUCCUUUCUUUUUUCUGUAUCCUCUGCCGAAAUGUCAGCUGGUCAGGCUGGUCAGCCAAUGUCAUCUAUGAACUUACCAGACUGGGAUUCCUCCUUCUUCCAGUUCAAUCCCCAAUUCACCCAAUUUUCAAUCUUCAAACCCUACAUCCCCCUUAUCUUCAAUUCAUGGUAGUGGUUAUCUCGCUCAAUCGGCAACUGAACCAUCAUCUGCGCAACUAUGUCUCCUGUUAAAUCAUUUGAUAUGAUAUCUCUGGUAAUGGGCAACAAUUUACAAGGGUUAACUUAUCUAUAAGAGAUAAUGCCACAAGCAGCCUAUGCCAGCUAUUGUUGCUAGAUUAUUUUAACUGGUCUUGUCUUGAGUUUAAUUUAAAGCCAGUGACUCAUUAUGAGAUUUUUCACCAUAUGUUGAAUUGGCUGGUUAAUUGGGAUCAAAGACAACAUGGAGUUGAAGAAUGUGAUUGUGUGAAAUCAUGUAUACCUGACAAAGCUCUAACUGAACAGCUACACAGUUGUCUGGAUGUUUUUUGGUUGUUGGUCGAUGAGAAUAAGUGCAGAGUGCCCUUCUAUGAAUUGUUGUGCAGUGGGCUGCUUUUUAUUGAGACCAUACCAGAUGAUGAAGCUUUAUUUACACUCAUCUUGGAGAGCCAUAGGAGGCAAGAUAUGAUGGCCACGCAUAUACAAAUGCAAAUGCUAGAACAACACCUGCAUUGUCCCACAUUUGGUAUUCAUCGGAUUCUGUCUCAAAUAACUCCUAACAUUUCAGUUGAAGCAGUAGCAAACUUGCGCUAUUCGCCGAUCACAUAUCCAAGUGUACUUGGAGAACCGUUGCAUGGAGAGGACCUUCCAAAUUCUAUUCAGAGAGGAAGUUUGGAAUGGGAAAGAGCUUUCCGUUGUAUAAGACAUGCUCUUCGCACUACUCCACCACCUGAUCAGUAGAAGCUUGUGUUCCUCAUGACUCCUUGCUAUAGGAAUGAUGCUCAUGCACCUACUCCUGGUGCUAUUUUCACUUCUAGCAUGAUUUAUGUGGCAACCAUUGAUAGAAUUGUUGAAUUAUUGAAGUUAACAAAUUCAGGCAAAUAUAUCUUCCUUUUACUUGUACUCUGUCCUCUAUAUAUAAUGUGUUUCUUGACUCUCUUUUCAUAAUGUUUUCUCCAUUGAAUUUCUGAUACUAUCAAUCAAUGAAUUACAUUGCAUAUUUGUGAUGUUGCCGGACCUUAGGCUUUUAUUCUUUUGGACUUUAUAAUAUUUCACAAUUGAAGAUAUGGUUUUGAUAAAUGGAAUUUAGAAUGCUAUGUUAUGCUGAGCAGGAGUAACUAGUGAGAAGUGUAGUGGAUGUGUUUGUCAGGGUAGCAUAAUAUGUGCAAGUUGAUAAACCUGCUCAUCUCCAUUUUUCAACAGUCAUUUUGGAAUUUCCACUAUCUUUAGGAUUUCUUUGAUGAAGCUGUUUUAGUUACUGAUAUUUUCAAAUAUAUUUUAAGCCGCUCUCAUAUGUUCUCCUUUUCCUGGAGAACUGCAGAAGUAAAUUAAGAAAGGUUGUUUUUUAGUGCAAAUUUCUGAUGCCUUUCUACAGUAGUCAUAUUAUUGCAUCUUCUUUUGCACUUUCACUACUUAUUUGUCUUCAUUCAAUCAUUCCUUACUUGUCCAAGGCAUUUAUAUCUGCUUGACUCAAUUAUUGUUGGCAUUUAUUGGACAUUUUUUUUACAAUAUAUAUAGGGAUUCAUGUUUGGAUUUAACUUUGUCACUUGCAAACUUGGACAUUGCAAUUUUGCUGAUGGGUAGAGACCACCAGAAAGAUUAUAUCAUUUCAUAGAGAAGAUCGAAGUUCAGAUCCUAAUAAUCCUCAAAGCAUUUUGCUUGAUUUUAUAAGCAGUUGUCAAAAUUUACGUAUUUGGUCAUUGAACACAUCAACAAGGGAAUAUUUAAAUAAUGAGCAGCUUCAGAAAGGAAAACAAAUAGAUGAAUGGUGGAGAACAGUGACCAAAGGGGACCGCAUGAUUGAUUACAUGAAUAUGGAUGAUAGAUCGAUUGGAAUGUUUUGGGUUGUGUCCUACACUAUGGCACAGCCAGCUUGUGAAACAGUGGUGAACUGGUUGUCCUCUGGUGGAGUUUCUGAGCUUUUACCAGGAGCAAAUAUGCAGUCCAAUGAGAGGUUAAUGGUGAUGAGGGAAGUAAGCCCAUUACCAAUGUCAUUAUUAUCUGGCCUUUCACUGAAUCUAUGUUUGAAGUUGGUCUUCCAACUAGAAGAUUCUUUAUUUGCUGGGCAGGUUAUUCCUAGCAUUGCAAUGGUUGAAACUUAUUGUCGAUUGCUGCUCAUUGCACCUCAUUCAUUGUUUCGCUCACACUUCAGUCAUUUGGCACAGAGGUAUCCAUCCUUGUUGAGCAAACCUGGAGUGACUCUUUUGGUGUUUGAAAUUGUUAACUAUCGGUUACUUCCACUGUACAGGUACCAAGGGAAAAGCAAAUCAUUGAUGUAUGAUGUUACCAAAAUAGUUUCUACUUUAAAAGGGAAACGAGGGGAUCAUCGAAUAUUUAGGCUGGCAGAAAAUCUGUGCAUGAACCUAAUUUUAUCACUGAGAGAUUUUUUCUCUGUGAAAAGAGAAGGGAAGGGUCCAACUGAAUUCACUGAAACUUUGAAUCGUGUAACCAUAAUUACUCUUGCCAUUAUCAUCAAAACUCGUGGAAUUGCUGAUGCUGAUCACUUACUUUAUCUUCAGACUAUGCUAGAACAGAUAAUGGCAACUAGCCAGCACACAUGGUCAGAAAAAACAUUACACUACUUUCCUCAUCUUCUUCGUGACGCUUUGAUUGGGAGGAUAGAUAAAAGAGGGCUGGCUAUUCAAGCCUGGCAGCAGGCAGAGACGACUGUGAUUCACCAAUGUACUCAGCUUCUAUCACCAUCUGCUGAUCCUAAUUAUGUUAUGACUUACAUCAACCAUAGUUUUCCUCAGCACCGACAAUAUCUGUGUGCUGGUGCAUGGAUACUGAUGCAGGGGCACCCUGAAAACAUUAAUAGUGAAAAACUGGCACGUGUUUUGAGAGAAUUCUCCCCUGAAGAAGUGACAGCAAACAUAUAUACCAUGGUGGAUGUUCUACUUCACCAUAUUCAGAUGGAACUUCAGCAUGGACAUUCCUUACAGGACCUUCUGUUGAAAACUUGUGCAAACCUUGCAUUCUUUGUUUGGACUCAUGAGCUUCUUCCUUUGGAUAUUUUGCUUUUGGCCCUUACUGACCGUGACGACGAUCCUCAUGCUUUGCAUAUUGUGAUCAGUUUACUUGAUAGGCAAGAACUUCAACAAAGAUUGAAAUUGUUCUGUAUGAAUCGUGGGCCUCCUGAGCAUUGGCUUUUCUCCGGAAUAUUCAAGCGUCUUGAAUUGCAGAAGGCACUUGGCAAUCAUCUCUCAUGGAAGGACAGGUAUCCCACAUUCUUUGAUGAUAUUGCAGCCCGUUUACUUCCAGUAAUCCCUUUAAUUGUUUAUAGGCUUAUUGAAAAUGAUGCCAUAGAUCCGGCUGAUAGAGUUUUGGCCAUGUAUUCUCCAUUUCUAGCAUAUCACCCCUUAAGAUUCACAUUUGUUCGUGAUAUACUUGCAUAUUUCUAUGGUCAUCUUCCAGGAAAGCUUAUUGUGCGAAUACUAAAUGUUCUUGAUCUAAGCAAGAUCCCAUUUUCUGAGUCAUUCCCACAGCACAUUAGUUCUUCGAACCCUGUCAUGUGCCCACCUCCUGAGUAUUUUGCUACUCUUCUGUUGGGACUGGUGAAUAAUGUGUUACCCCCAUUAAAUACCAACUCAAAAUAUGGAUCAGUUGCAGAUGGUCUAUGUAAUUCAAUGCGCAAUCUAAAUUCCAAGACUCCAGCAACAUCUCAAUCUGGGCCAACAAAUACUUCUGAGGGCCAAAGAGCAUUCUAUCAAAUUCAAGAUCCUGGAACUUAUACUCAACUAGUUCUUGAAACAGCAGUGAUUGAACUACUUUCACUUCCAGUGACUGCUUCCCAAAUUGUAUCAUCUCUAGUUCAAAUUGUAGUUAAUAUUCAACCAACUCUAAUACAAUCCAGCAAUGGUCUGCAUGGAGCUCCAAAUGGUGUUGCGCAAGGAUCAGGUUUACCAACAUCCCCUUCUGGGGGAAGUACAGAUUCCUUAGGUGCAAGUCGAUCAACUCCUUCAGUUUCAGGAAUCAAUACUGCUAAUUUUGUUUCUCGAAGUGGUUAUACAUGCCAGCAACUAUCUUGCUUAUUGAUCCAAGCUUGUGGUCUCCUACUGGCUCAGCUUCCUCCUGAUUUUCACU